AUCUAUCCAUCUCGCGUGUGUUUACAUAGAAAAACAAUUUUUUUUUUAAAAUAGCACAGUGCAAUGCAAAAAUGCAUUCUGUGUGAAUGCCCUUAAAAACUGUGUCCUAACCAUGAUGAAGCAAAAUCCCACUUCUUAUAGCUGCACAUUAAAGCUAAAGUGUGUCAUUAACUAGUCUGAAUUUAUUGUUUUUAAACAGGUUUCCCAAAAGCUCCGCCUGGAGGCAAAUCGAUAGCCCAGCCCCCAAACACACCCCAUUGGCUGAACCAAUGUUGCUGUUGUUGGGCGGAUCGAGAUGUUCAAACAAACAGAUCAAUGUUUUGAAAACACCACAGAGCUGCAGUGUUUCACUUUUUAGGGAACUCAGCCUAUGAAUGUCUUAAUAAUUGUUUUAACAUUAAAAAACAUGAAACAGGUUCUGAUUGGAUCUGUCAUUACACAGAAUUUUCCUUUUCUCUGUGGAGAGACAAAUUAAACGAUGCUGGAAAAGUCAUGUCUGGUUAGGACACGGUGUGAGAGUGGGCAGGGAAAGUACAGUAGAAUUCUGAAUGUAAAAACAGGAUCAGCUCUUAUCAGCUAAACCACUCACUUUCAGAGUUGCGUUGCUUGUACUUCUGCAAAAAUGAAAAACUCUUUGUAAAAAAAAAAACCUCCUCUGUAAGUUCAUUCCUCAUUCAUUCAUUUUCAUCAUACAGAUAGAAAGAGGAUGGGCCUCACGUUCAUCAGCUCACGUUCUGUUUCAUAAAUAUGGAAGUGAGAUUAAAACUGCAACACAAGGGGUUUUCCCUUCUUCCAUCUGGAUGGUGGUGUUCCGGUGAUAUGUUAAGAGUAAAAUUGCAAAUACUGUCUCCAUGGUUGCACUGGUUUGGUUUGUAACCAUGUUAUUUACAUUUUGCAUGAGCACAUUCUUUCAUCUCCAGCUAUACAACUUCAUUUCGCAAGAGUUUCGGUGCGAUUUUCAUAUUGUGUUCAAUAUAAAUGCCUCAUUUUCAUGUAUAUUCUGAAAUAAACCCCAUGCCCCAUCACAUCAAAUGGAAAAGAUUAUCAAAAAUGUCAGCAGCUACUCUAAUGCAUUCAUUUUACAAUACAACUUUCCUUUGAGGAAAAAGAAAUCGAUUUUCUGCCCCGAUUUCUUUGCUUUCUUUCUUUUUAAUGACUUUGCUGCCAUAUCUUCUCUCAUAUAUCACAUAACUAUUAAAAUGUAGCAAAAUAUCCGGAGGAUUUUAAUAUAGAGACAGGGGUUUAUAUUUGAUUUCCGAAUUCUCAUUUUUCCACCAUUACCCUGUUUGUCUUUCUAUGUUGUACAUUCUGUCUUGUAAGCCCUCUGCAUGUAGCAUUCAGAAGCAAUUGUUCAUGAUUUUUCUUUCUUGCUUUUUUUGUUUGUUUAAUUUAUCCUUAAAGCACUUGUGAGUUUUAAAUGUGUCAAUAUUUUGUGUACGUAUCCAUGUCAUAAGCUAACAGUUAUGUGUCCUAAUUAAAUAAACCUUGCCUUAUCAUCUGA
Cyprinus carpio carpio is the source of this 1501-nucleotide long non-coding RNA. The record is from Ensembl. NCBI's taxonomy places the organism in Eukaryota, Metazoa, Chordata, Actinopteri, Cypriniformes, Cyprinidae.